UAAAACAGUUUGUUGAGGAGUUGAAAAAGCAACAGUUGUAUGUGGCCGAAUCACGGCUUUUGGCUCUUACGUGUGUCUAUGUCGGUCUCUACUUACCGGACAAAAGGCUCACAGCAGUGUUCUUGAUGUGUGUUCCUAUACCAACGAUUAUUGUAUCCGCAUGGCUAAAUCACGUGCCAACCAAGUAUUCGAUGUUUCGUGCGUGUCUACAUCAAGGCGUUCCCUUAGGAUGUAUGUUAGUCCCCCUCGUCAUAUCAAGCUUGAACAUCGCAGUGGCAAGAGAAGGAAGUUUGUCAGACUGCUUGGGGUUUUAUUUGCGUGCCGCUAUCAUUCUUCAACUGUCUACUGUUUUGGCAAGCAUAUGGUGGAGGGUUAUAUUCCCAUAUGGCUACAUAUGCUGGACACUAUCCGUCGUAGCAGUCACAUACGGCAUUGAAAUAGCAACAUUUAAGACGUCAGCGCAAUCUGUUGUGUGCAUGCUAGUUAUUAUCUUGCUAUACGUAGCUGUGGCUUUACUGAUGCUACAGGGACUGCCAGGAAGUUUCACAGCCGGUGAGGCGAUAGUGGUGGCCACAGGUCUGUCUUUGGUGUUCUUCGACACCUCGAUUGUCACUUUGGCAAACUAUAUUCUUGGUUCACAGUUUAAUGUGAUCGGAAUGCCCACAUUUUUGGUUGCAUCGAGAAGUCAGUUUGUUCUACUGUUGGAGACCGUUAUCUCAUGGCUGCUUCUGCUCAUCACUAUGUAUGCUCCCGGUGGUAUCAAAGCCCGGAUGUCAGAAGAUGUCGCUUCGAAACGAAAAUGGUCUCUCUAUUUUUACGAAUUUGCUUGUGGUGCAGGAAUCCCGCUCUUAGUUGUCUGGUUGUCACUUGUCUUGAAAAUGAAUGCCCUGUAUUGGGGUGUGCUAUUUGUUCAAUCUAAACAGCACAAAGCUGCUUUGGUGUUCUCUUGGGUUUGCUGUAUUGUUAUUGCUUUGAGAGUUGUUAGUUGGAGGAAAAACAGGAGCUCAAAUGACAACGAGGAAUUUAUGCCAAUUAUUGUCGUUAGAAAAUUGUUCCACUUCAUUGCUUCUGCCGUCUUUGUAACUGGCCUUUUGGGAGAUGUGACUCUCCUUCAUGUGUCAUGUACUGCAGCACUCACCAUAUUUAUUCUGAUUGAGGUCGUUCGAUCCUGUCGACUGUGGCCAAUAGGUGAAACUCUGCACUACUACAUGUCUUGUUUGACAGAUAGUCGUGACAGCGGUCAUGUGAUUCUUACACACAUCUACCUCCUAGUUGGUCUUGCCCUUCCCAUCUGGCUCGUUCCAAGCACCAGAAAAGGACCAUUCAAACUUGCUAUGUAUGCUGGUGUUUUGUCUCUUGGAGUUGGGGACAGCUUUGCAUCUAUAUUUGGCAAAUGGCUGGGACGAAGAAAAUGGCCCAGUUUGUCAAAAUUCUACGAAGUCACUUGAAGGCACUUUGGCGUGUAUGAUGGGUCAGAUUGUAGCGGCAGGAAUAGUGUGUUCUCUCGAUUCUCAAAUAGUACUGGAAAACACAAUGCAAGCAAUUCGUAUAGUUGUCUCUCUAGUAUUGGGUUCGCUUCUCGAGGGUAUGACUGUCCAAAUCGACAACCUAGUAUUGCCACUCUAUACUCUAGCUCUCCUUCUUGUACA
This is an RNA transcript of Corticium candelabrum, 1649 nucleotides long. It is a transcript of the gene named dolichol kinase-like, with no coding region annotated. The transcript has 13 exons. The record is from RefSeq and is a predicted model, not a curated record. NCBI's taxonomy places the organism in Eukaryota, Metazoa, Porifera, Homoscleromorpha, Homosclerophorida, Plakinidae.